RNAcentral lists this long non-coding RNA (743 nucleotides) under Theobroma cacao (cacao). Its description in RNAcentral is "long non-coding RNA (TCAC_LNC002023)". Lineage: Eukaryota; Viridiplantae; Streptophyta; Magnoliopsida; Malvales; Malvaceae. The record is from RNAcentral.
UUAUACAUAAUACACGAUAUGUAAUUCAAUAUAUUUGUGUCAAACUGUUAUAAAACUAUUUCAGGCUCUAUAUGAAUGCAUGACAUUGAAUGAGAAUUGUCCGAAUAAUCACUUAAAUACGGUGUUCUACAUGGGUUCAAUUAUGAUCGGACUGAAUUGGCAUUCGACCUACUUGCACUAUGCCUUGUUUAAUUAGCCAAAACAUCCAAUUCAACUCCAAAUAUCUUCAUUACACUUCCAAUAUUCCAAAUACACUAAAGCACCUCAAUGAGCUUAAUUGUGACUUAAUUCACUGUAAUCGAAAUUCAUUCCGAUUUCGAUAUCCGAUACAAUAAAUCAUCAAUUCCUAGCUAAAUAACAUGAUUUACAACCAAAUCCAUCAUCAACAUGCUCUAUGGAAAAUUCGACCAAAUGAGGGUGGUUGAAGAACAUGUGAUUUUCUUGCUUGUUUUUCCUUCCAAACAUCACAAAAUGACUAAAAACACUAGGAUAUUAUGAAAUCUAGCAAAAUUCAUAACCAAAACUUCUCUCUCUAGAUUUGGCCAGCAAAGGUUCCCUCUUGAAAACUUGAAUUUCAGCCAUGGAGAAUGAAAAAGAAUGCAUGGGAAAGGUAGAUCACAAGCUAAAAUAAAAAAUCUUACCUUUACUUGCUUGAUUCCUUGAAAUCCAACAAUUUCUCUUGGAUUUUUCCUUCCUAGGGUUUGUUCUUCUCUUUUUCUCUUUGUUCCCUUGCUUGGCCGGCC